RNAcentral lists this ribosomal RNA (238 nucleotides) under uncultured bacterium. Its description in RNAcentral is "partial 16S ribosomal RNA". It matches the Rfam family "Bacterial small subunit ribosomal RNA", at positions 100 to 334 of the family's 1533-position model. The record is from RNAcentral.
CCGGCACGGGUGAGUAACGCGUAUGCAACUUACCUAUCAGAGGGGGAUAGCCCGGCGAAAGUCGGACUAAUACCGCAUGAAGCAGGGGUCCCGCAUGGGGAUAUUUGCUAAAGAUUCAUUGCUGAUAGAUAGGCAUGCGUUCCAUUAGGCAGUUGGCGGGGUAACGGCCCACCAAACCGACGAUGGAUAGGGGUUCUGAGAGGAAGGUCCCCCACAUUGGUAUUGAGACACGGACCAA